UUAAUUGAAACCAAAAUAGAGGUAUGUCACUGUUAAUGACAUUAAUGAGAUCAUCCAAUUAAA
This 63-nucleotide transfer RNA is filed under the name Drilus flavescens. RNAcentral describes it as "tRNA-Asn". Lineage: Eukaryota; Metazoa; Arthropoda; Insecta; Coleoptera; Elateridae. The record is from RNAcentral.